AUAUGAUUAACUUAUAAUACAUUGAUUUUUAGAUUAAACUGCUGAUAUGUAAUUUUAUUUAGAGCUUCAGAGCCAAGUCCAACUCUCUCUCCAAGGUGACUUUAUCAAUCUCCUUUUCCUUCAUGACAUAAGUAUCUGCUUCAUCAAUCGCAUUUGUUGAUGAUGAAACCUCUCCUAGGGGAAAACCCAUUUCAAUCAUGACCUCAUUAGAGUUGCUGUAUGGACACAUAUCCAUGUCCCAUGGCAUGAGAUUGUGGUUUUCAAGAGGAAUACCACAUGGAAUCUCAUCAAGGAAUUCAUUGUUGAGAUCCAUUCCAUGAUAAUGGACCUGAUCAUCUGCAACCUUCAUACCAGCAAACACAGGAGAAGGAGGA
Molecule: unclassified non-coding RNA, 374 nt
Filed under: Hevea brasiliensis (rubber tree)
Lineage: Eukaryota; Viridiplantae; Streptophyta; Magnoliopsida; Malpighiales; Euphorbiaceae
Source: RNAcentral